This is a long non-coding RNA of Thunnus maccoyii (southern bluefin tuna), 986 nucleotides long. RefSeq lists it as uncharacterized. The record is from RefSeq and is a predicted model, not a curated record. Lineage: Eukaryota; Metazoa; Chordata; Actinopteri; Scombriformes; Scombridae. The transcript has 3 exons.
UGGAGCUGCAAAGAAAAGACAAGGAACUGAGAGGCAAACUCAGGCGGGCAGAGGAUGCACACAAGAGACACUUUGAGGAGACACUGAAGGCUGGCAACCCCCCAAAAAUAUGGGAGACCAUGAAAAACAUGACAGGUUUGAAACAACUUGGAGCUCUGAAAGAUGCAGGGAGGUGCUGGAGUCAGUAACUGUGGGGUCUGAAGAUAAGAGUGUAAAUCUCAGCGGGUCAGGUGGCCAACAUCUUUCGACAUCUCAGCACACGGUUUAUAUGGAGCCGCAGAUAUCCUGUGAGAGUCUCAGAUGGAGAGAAACUCUCUGGUCAGCUGUUUCUUGUCCCACUCAUCAGGACAAACUGCGGUUACAGAAGUCAAGAGUUGGUCCCCAGAACUGCCACCACAUGGUGUUUGGAUCAAGUCGUGUAAUAACUUUCUCCUUGUUCAAGACAAUUAUCCUCUCCACCUUCCACCUCCUCCACAUCCAUCAACACGUCUGUCCUCGUCUCUACCUGCCAGCUGCUUCCUGAAGCCCUGACACUAAGAGCCUUUAUGCCCUGUGGAUUUUGUGGCUUGAGGCUUUGCCACUCGGUGCCCACGGAGAGUUCUUGGAAGGCCGGGGAUCCACAAAGCCUCCCAGCCACCUCAAGCCUUCGGCCCAGGCCACAGAACAGUAAACCUGGCAGAGGCUGAGACCAGACUGUGGUCAAGUCAACCCUCAGCGCCGGAGCGAGGACUCCCCUCUGAGUGAAGGAAGUACAGAGUACACACAGCUACAUGAAAACCCCCAGCACAAAGAUAUUAUCACAUAAAACAGGUCAUACUGGAGUGUUGAUCGCUGGAGACGCUGCUGCUGCUGCUGCACCAGAGUUCAGCUGAUAAAAAGCCAAGACUGGUACUGAUAUCUUCUGACCUAAAUCAUCAGCUACUGACAUUAUGAAGUGUAAUAUGUUUCCAUUUUCAAGCCAAACAUACAGUACAGUAUAUGGUGGG